Molecule: ribosomal RNA, 460 nt
Filed under: uncultured bacterium
Lineage: Bacteria
Description: partial 16S ribosomal RNA
Rfam family: Bacterial small subunit ribosomal RNA
Source: RNAcentral
CCUACGGGCGGCAGCAGUGAGGAAUAUUGGUCAAUGGACGAGAGUCUGAACCAGCCAAGUAGCGUGAAGGAUGACUGCCCUAUGGGUUGUAAACUUCUUUUAUAAAGGAAUAAAACGAGGCACGUGUGCCUUUUUGCAUGUACUUUAUGAAUAAGGAUCGGCUAAAUCCGUGCCAGCAGCCGCGGUAAUACGGAGGAUCCGAGCGUUAUCCGGAUUUAUUGGGUUUAAAGGGAGCGUAGAUGGGUUGUUAAGUCAGUUGUGAAAGGUUGCGGCUCAACCGUAAAAUUGCAAUUGAUACUGGCAGUCUUGAGUACAGGUGAGGUAGGCGGAAUUCGUGGUGUAGCGGUGAAAUGCUUAGAUAUCACGAAGAACCCCGAUUGCGAAGGCAGCUUACUAAACUGUGACUGACAUUGAUGCUCGAAAGUGUGGGUAUCAAACAGGAUUAGAUACCCGGGUAGUC